CCAGCAGCCGCGGUAACUCCAGCUCCAAUAGCGUAUAUUAAAGUUGCUGCAGUUAAAAAGCUCGUAGUUGGAUCUCGGGUAUCACUGUUGCUCGUCAAUCCUCAGGCGGUUGGCUGCGUGUGCAUGGGCUUGACUCGUGUUGCCGUGGUUGGUCGUCCGAGUUGGCGGUGUGAUGGUGUCGCCUUUCAGCCAUGUCUGUGGUGAAAUACCCGCAGGUGUAGGCGAGUGUCAGGCGGUGCCUUGCGAAAGUAGGGCUCUGUCGGCUCGUCUGCAUGCCUUUGGAUGCCCUUUAAAAGGUGUCUGUUGGCGGAUGGCACGUUUACUCUGAACAAAUUUGAGUGCUCAAACCAGGCCGAUGUUGCCUGAAAAGUUUUGCAUGGAAUAAUGGAAUAGGACUUCGGUUCUAUUUCGUUGGUUUUCGGACCCGAAGUAAUGAUCAAAAGAGACAGGCGGGGG
This 456-nucleotide ribosomal RNA is filed under the name Proteocephalus midoriensis. Its description in RNAcentral is "SSU rRNA". It matches the Rfam family "Eukaryotic small subunit ribosomal RNA", at positions 567 to 888 of the family's 1831-position model. The record is from RNAcentral. Lineage: Eukaryota; Metazoa; Platyhelminthes; Cestoda; Proteocephalidea; Proteocephalidae.